This is a small nuclear RNA of Dipodomys spectabilis (banner-tailed kangaroo rat), 107 nucleotides long. Lineage: Eukaryota; Metazoa; Chordata; Mammalia; Rodentia; Heteromyidae. The record is from RefSeq and is a predicted model, not a curated record.
GUGUUUGCUUCAGCAGCACAUAUACUAAAAUUGGAACCAUACAGAGAUGAUUAGCAUGGCUCCUGCGCAAGGAUGACAUACAUGCAAACUAACCAAACUCACCCUUU